This 468-nucleotide ribosomal RNA is filed under the name uncultured bacterium. RNAcentral's name for it is "partial 16S ribosomal RNA". It matches the Rfam family "Bacterial small subunit ribosomal RNA", at positions 28 to 507 of the family's 1533-position model. The record is from RNAcentral.
GACGAACGCUGGCGGCGUGCUUAACACAUGCAAGUCGAACGGAAAGGCCCUGCUAUUUUGGUGUGCUCGAGUGGCGAACGGGUGAGUAACACGUAAGUAACCUGCCCUUGACUUUGGGAUAACUUCAGGAAACUGGGGCUAAUACCGGAUAGGAUCUCCCGUUGCAUGGUGGGGGUUGGAAAGUUUCGGCGGUUGGGGAUGGACGAGGGGCUUACCAGCUUGUUGGUUGGGUAGUGGCUGACCAAGCCGUUGACGGGUAGCCGGCCUGAGAGGGUGACCGGCCACAUUGGUACUGAGGUACGGCCCAGACGCCUAUGUGGGACAGCGGUGGGGAGUAUUGUACAAUGGUACGAAGCCGGAUGCAGCGACGCCGCGGGCGGGAUGACGGCCUGCGGGUAGUAAACCGCAUUCGCCUGUGACGAAGCGGGAGUGACGGUAAUGAGUAAAGAAGCACCGGCUAACUACGUG